GUGAACACUUGGGAAGUACCUGGCCUUGCGCUGGGGAUCGCACGUGUAUUAGCUCAUUAGCAUCACAAGCUCCACAUCACAACAAAACUGCCCAAAUGAGGUUCGGCGAGAUCAAAUCGUUUGUCCGAGCUAAUGCUGGUACCGACACGCGAGCCCACACAGCCUGGACUUGAAUUCCUGUCCUCUCUGCAGCCUUGCCAAUGUACGACAGAGAUCCAGAUGUAGACCUCUCUGCCACGUCUGUCUCCAGCACCACGUCUGCCCUGCCUGUGUGCUGUCUCGCUUCCCCCCACGAUGAUAACGGACUAAACCUCUGAACUCCGUCAUCUCAAUGAGCGCUCCCUUCGGUACACUGACCACCAAGUCUUCAUUCAUGUCUUCAAGUCAUUCACCCACUCCUUUUCAAAACAAGCUCCAAGUCAUGCCUCCAUGCUGGAAACUUCUUGAAGUGCCUAUGCCGUGAAGCAGACCCAUGUCUGUCCUGAUUGCUGUCUUCACUCCAGCACCGGGAAACGCACGCGGUGCACAGGAAGGGCUCUCUUAGUUGAAUGAAUCAAAUGCCUGGAUGGAGCCUCUGUAAACACCUCCCGAUCUUGAUUAUGCUUGUCAGUAGCAGAGCACAAAAACUCCCGAUGACAAAUGACCCGUGACCCAUUCAUAAUGUAUUUCACCAUGCAUUUUUUUUUUGGUCACAAUUUUAACACAGGCAUUCACUCCUAUGGACCAUAAAAUAUGUUUCUUCCGUAACAGUUUUAGAGAGGUGCAUGAUCAGAGGGGGUAGAUAAAAGGCAAAAUGAUUCAGAAAUAUUGAGACAAAGAAAUUUACUUGGCUGGAAAAGAAUUUAUGUGUUUCCAAAACUACACUCGCUCUCAAAAAAAACAGAUGAGUCAAUAUGGAUGAAAACCAUACAGAAUGGGCCAGACUCUUAGUGGGAGCUCAAUCGACAUUAGCUGCUAUUAUUGUCUUCCCUUCCAGACACCCCUGCAGCCUUCAUUCUCCCAAAUGCACCCUGUGCCACUCCCCUGCCCUGACUCUGUGCACUCAUACUGCCCUGACCGCCCCCCCCUCCCGCCCCCUCCCCAAUCUCCUUACUGAUGCCUCAGUCAUGUUUCAAGUCUCAUCUAAGAUGGCGCUUCUUCAGGCAAGCUUCUGAGUCCUUAAGCAAGUUAAUCACUCCCUCGUCUGACAAUGACACCCAAUAUAAACAUUGAGUUAUAAUUGUCCAUUUGUUCUCCUGCCCUCCUCUGGAGACUGAAUGAGCCCAUGUGGCAGACUCGCCUUAUAAUUUAGUCCCGUAUUCCCAGCCACAACAACCAGGAUGACACUUAGAAGGACUGGUAGGGAUAAUGGAGACACUAUAGGCAUUCCAGAGCCAAGGAAAACAUCUCAGCCCAGGCAGGUGUUUCUCUGGCAUCAUCUCUUGCCUGGGAAAUCGAUUCUACUUCCAAAUGAGCCCGACAAAGUCAAGUGCAGCCCAAGAAGAGGGUGACUCACUCCCCUGUGAAGGUUAUUCAGACUUCCUCACAGGUUCCCUUAAAGUGUGUGCUGUUUGGACAAUUUGUACUCAGCCUACCAGCUAAGAAAGUGUGUGGCGCAAAGAAAGGUCCCUACACUGAAAAUCUAGGUAAACCAGCAUUUGUUUCCCUUCGCCUGCACAUAUUGCCUUGUUUAGUGGCCUCUCAUACGGUGCCAACAAACUGACAAAAGCUCAUAAAGACCCCAAUACAGAUUACAGAGGGAGGCAAGGAAGGAUGCAGCCUGCAUCACGCUAGAGCUUGGCUUUUACUAUUAUUCCAGCAUCCCAAUGUCUUGACCAGUCUUUGGCACCUAGUUGAAGCCCAAUGAACAUUGAUUGAAUGAAAGGGAGAUACUUCCCUGGGAAAGAAACAAGAUAAAGGCAUUGGAGCAGGUAGUUGGAAGGCACUCCUGGGGUGUCCGCUAGUCUGUGAUUUCCCCAAGAGACAGGCUUAAGUAACAACAGAUUUUACUGAAGGCCUGAUAAGUUACUAAGCAUACAAUAUCACCUGGGCAUAAAAUAACUUGUCCAUCUUCCUCCAUAAACACACAGCCUCUGCCUCAAAAAAAAUGUUAAAUAUUUAAAGAAUUGAUUUUUUUUAAAAAUACACACACACACAUAUACACACACACCAUUUAGAAAGUAUGGGCCAUUAAAAAAUAGGUUUGCUUGUGCACACACAUGUAUGAGGGUGCCCAUGGAACCCAGAAGGGGUCAAAUCCACUGGAGGUGGAGUUAAAGGCAGUUGCGAAUCAUCAGACAUGGAUGCUGGGAACUGAACUCGGGUCCUCUCCAAGAGCAGCAAAUGCUCUCAACUGAUGAGCCAUCUCUCCAGUCCCUGCUGUUAUUUUUAAAAGUUAAGAAAUGCACGAACAUUUUAAAGAGUUCCUUCAGGCUGCUUCUGCAUGGAGAAUCUCUGCAGGUAGGCUCCAGCCCUCAUUUCAAAGGCUUGGCCAUACGGUAACGAAGCACUUGAAUAUUUUAUCUAGUGCCAACAAUAUCCCAGGAUGCAAUGCAUUUUCCCCCUCAUGACUGAACUGACAGAAGCAGAUCAACACCUUUAGCAGAUAGAAACUGAGAUCCAGUGUAAGUUGCCUAAGCUAAUCCUGCCAAUGUGUUCCAGGCGCUCUGAUUCUAGGCUGACCAGAUUACGUCAUUCACUGAAAGGGAUCAAGAAAACACUAAUGCAGUUUUAAGAAAACCAAACAUGUGUGGUGGAAAUAGGGCCUGUUUUUUUUCAUUGGCCGACAUCAACCGGGUAUAUUAAGAAUGGCCCGGCACAAUGGUUUCUCCCCUGAGAUGGAGUCUCCCAAACUCCCUCAGCCUACUCAGCUUACUUUGACUUAAAGCCUAUGGCUGCAGUGAGCCUCAGAGUGAUCAUAAGCUAAGCAGAAUGACGUGGGGGGAGGGGUUGUUGGUGCAAGCAGGCCCCGAUGGGAAUAGCUGCACUCAAGGCAGCUGCAGUGCACAGCAGGCCCAGUUCUUGGGAAGUACCACUGAUGCUGCAGGGAUGUAGGUGGGGAUGGCACAGAAUGUAAGAGCACAUUGGUGCAGCCUAUUUAAAACAGCAAGAGCAGCAGAAAGACUUGAGAGCAGUAAACCUAGCCUGGUUAAACUAAAAAGACUGUCCAGGUCCUCUGGGGAAACUUUAGUUUGCUUCCUCAAGAUGGAGAAGUUGCUUCUCUGAGGUCAGGGUCAUUUCCUAUUCAACUCUAACUGGCAUAAGGCAGGAGCCAUAAGAAGACACCAAACACACACACACACAAAAUAGAGAUAUAAAGAGCAAACCAUCUCUAGAAAAAUCUUCCUCUGGAUAAGCCUAUCAGUGAAACUUUGACCUAGAUGUUGAACUGACAAAAAUGAAAAACAGCCUCUAGGCUUCCUGGCUCCCAGGCCAUCACCACUAACCCUGGGAAAAACUCAUGUUCUAUGGUUACUUCCUCCUGUGUAAAAUGGGAUCAGGAAAAAAAAAAAGUCCAACAAUAAUAUUUUAAUUGGUUGAAUGAGAUAACUCAAGUAAACCAGAAUAAUGCUUUCCCUCUAAGAAUCAUGCAGAGGCUGGAGAAAUGGUCCAGUUGAUAAGAGCACUGGCUGCUCUUUCAGAGGACCCAGGUUCAAUCUCCAGCACCCACAUAGUGGCUCAAUGCCCAAACUCCUCUUCCAGGAAUCCAACACUCUAUGGCACCCCCUGGGCACUGUAUGCAUGUCGUACACAGACAUGCAUGCAGACUAUACACCCAUGUGCAUAAAAAUAAAAUCAAAUAAACACA
Alexandromys fortis (reed vole) is the source of this 3787-nucleotide long non-coding RNA. RefSeq lists it as uncharacterized. The record is from RefSeq and is a predicted model, not a curated record. NCBI's taxonomy places the organism in Eukaryota, Metazoa, Chordata, Mammalia, Rodentia, Cricetidae. The transcript is spliced from 4 exons.